This 578-nucleotide ribosomal RNA is filed under the name Lysobacter sp. BvORR092. RNAcentral's name for it is "bacterial SSU rRNA". It matches the Rfam family "Bacterial small subunit ribosomal RNA", at positions 102 to 676 of the family's 1533-position model. The record is from RNAcentral. Lineage: Bacteria; Pseudomonadati; Pseudomonadota; Gammaproteobacteria; Lysobacterales; Lysobacteraceae.
ACGGGUGAGGAAUACGUCGGAAUCUGCCUAUUUGUGGGGGAUAACGUAGGGAAACUUACGCUAAUACCGCAUACGACCUACGGGUGAAAGCGGAGGACCUUCGGGCUUCGCGCAGAUAGAUGAGCCGACGUCGGAUUAGCUAGUUGGCGGGGUAAAGGCCCACCAAGGCGACGAUCCGUAGCUGGUCUGAGAGGAUGAUCAGCCACACUGGAACUGAGACACGGUCCAGACUCCUACGGGAGGCAGCAGUGGGGAAUAUUGGACAAUGGGCGCAAGCCUGAUCCAGCCAUGCCGCGUGUGUGAAGAAGGCCUUCGGGUUGUAAAGCACUUUUGUCCGGAAAGAAAAGCAUUGGGUUAAUACCCCGAUGUCAUGACGGUACCGGAAGAAUAAGCACCGGCUAACUUCGUGCCAGCAGCCGCGGUAAUACGAAGGGUGCAAGCGUUACUCGGAAUUACUGGGCGUAAAGCGUGCGUAGGUGGUUUGUUAAGUCUGAUGUGAAAGCCCUGGGCUCAACCUGGGAAUGGCAUUGGAAACUGGCUGACUAGAGUGCGGUAGAGGGUAGUGGAAUUCCCGGUGU